RNAcentral lists this ribosomal RNA (497 nucleotides) under uncultured bacterium. RNAcentral's name for it is "partial 16S ribosomal RNA". It matches the Rfam family "Bacterial small subunit ribosomal RNA", at positions 28 to 507 of the family's 1533-position model. The record is from RNAcentral.
GAUGAACGCUGGCGGCGUGCCUAACACAUGCAAGUCGAGCGGACGGACGAUAAGCGCGUGCUCCUGCGGUUGGCGACGGGCGGGUGAGUGACGCGUGCAUAACCUUCCACUAUGUCGGGGGUAAUAUCGGGGGACCGCAGAUGCUAAUAGAUAAUAUUUUCAACCGGAUGGUUCAAAAGUGAUUGACGGUUUUGCUGUCACUUAUAGCUGGUUCCGCGCUGGAUUAGCUAGUUGGUAAGGUAACGGCUUACCAAGGCAACGAUGCAUAGCCGACCUGAGAGGGUGAUCGGCCACACUGGAACUGAGACACGGUCCAGACUCCUACGGGAGGCAGCAGUGGGGAAUCUUGGACAAUGGGCGAAAGCCUGACCGAGCAACGCCGCGUGAGUGAAGAAGGUCUUCGGGUCGUAAAACUCUUUUAUUGGGGAAGAAAAGAUGCGUGAGUAACUGUGCAUAUUCUGACGGUACCUAAUCAAUAAGCACCGGCUAACUACGUG